Molecule: long non-coding RNA, 476 nt
Organism: Anguilla anguilla (European eel)
Lineage: Eukaryota; Metazoa; Chordata; Actinopteri; Anguilliformes; Anguillidae
Exons: 4
Source: RefSeq, a predicted model, not a curated record
CUCGAUCAAUCGCAGCUGUAGGCCUAUAUCAGUUGAGCAGUUUCCAUCGUUGAACUUAAUGACGGCAAGUGAUAACAUCUACUGCUUGGCCGAUGUUGCUGCAGCUGUUAGUUUAGCUGGCGACUCAAUGGUCGGUUUAAGUGCAACACGUUCAAACAAAGUCAACAAAAAGAAAACGGAGGAGAAUAGCGAAACGUUUUUGUGGAUCCACAAAAUAAAGCUAACACCCGCAGCUGCCGUCCACCCUGCCUGGGUUUAAUCUAGGAGGAACGAGGAGGAAAAAGACACGGCGGAUUAUUUCGAGGGUGAAAUUAGGGCUGACAGGGAGAGCUGGGGCACCGGCACCGCGGUUUAAUUCGCGGUCGAUUUGCCCCGGGAGGACACCGUCCCCCCCCCCCGUACGUUACCGGCCUGAAAACUUUCCCAAUAGAAGCCUUACCUGUCCACGCUGAUGAGGCAGAGGUUCAUAAUUGAGG